This 292-nucleotide ribosomal RNA is filed under the name uncultured Acidobacteriota bacterium. Its description in RNAcentral is "uncultured Acidobacteria bacterium partial 16S ribosomal RNA". Lineage: Bacteria; Pseudomonadati; Acidobacteriota. The record is from RNAcentral.
GGACUACCAGGGUAUCUAAUCCUGUUUGCUACCCACGCUUUCGUGUCUCAGCGUCAGUUACGGUCCAGUGAGCCGUCUACACCGCCGGUGUUCCUCCUGAUAUCUACGCAUUUCACCGCUACACCAGGAAUUCCACUCACCUCUCCCGCACUCUAGUCAUUCAGUAUUCGGCGCACCCUCCCAGUUAAGCCGGGAGAUUUCACACCAAACUUAAACAACCGCCUACACACCCUUUACGCCCAGUAACUCCGAACAACGCUCGCUGCCUACGUAUUACCGCGGCGGCUGGCAC